This 448-nucleotide ribosomal RNA is filed under the name Priestia megaterium. RNAcentral's name for it is "bacterial SSU rRNA". Lineage: Bacteria; Bacillati; Bacillota; Bacilli; Caryophanales; Bacillaceae. The record is from RNAcentral.
AACCWCGUAAUWCGGCAUGGACGAAGUCUGACGGAGCACGCCGCGUGAGUGAUGAAGGCUUUCGGGUCGUAAAACUCUGUUGUUAGGGAAGAACAAGUACAAGAGUAACUGCUYGUACCUUGACGGUACCUAACCAGAAAGCCACGGCUAACUACGUGCCAGCAGCCGCGGUAAUACGUAGGUGGCAAGCGUUAUCCGGAAUUAUUGGGCGUAAAGCGCGCGCAGGCGGUUUCUUAAGUCUGAUGUGAAAGCCCACGGCUCAACCGUGGAGGGUCAUUGGAAACUGGGGAACUUGAGUGCAGAAGAGAAAAGCGGAAUUCCACGUGUAGCGGUGAAAUGCGUAGAGAUGUGGAGGAACACCAGUGGCGAAGGCGGCUUUUUGGUCUGUAACUGACGCUGAGGCGCGAAAGCGUGGGGAGCAAACAGGAUUAGAUACCCYWGUAGUYSA